RNAcentral lists this ribosomal RNA (527 nucleotides) under Aluterus scriptus (scrawled filefish). Its description in RNAcentral is "partial 16S ribosomal RNA". It matches the Rfam family "Bacterial large subunit ribosomal RNA", at positions 1846 to 2577 of the family's 2925-position model. RNAcentral also lists the same sequence under 1 other name. Lineage: Eukaryota; Metazoa; Chordata; Actinopteri; Tetraodontiformes; Monacanthidae. The record is from RNAcentral.
UAAGAGGUCCCGCCUGCCCUGUGACUAUAAGUUUAACGGCCGCGGUAUCUUAACCGUGCGAAGGUAGCGCAAUCACUUGUCUCUUAAAUAGCGACCUGUAUGAAUGGCAUAACGAGGGCUUAACUGUCUCCUUUCUCAAGUUAAUGAAAUUGACCUCCCCGUGCAGAGGCGGGGAUAUAAACAUAAGACGAGAAGACCCUAUGGAGCUUUAGGCACUAAGGCUGCCCACGUAAAAACCUCCUAUAAAAGAAUAUAACUUUGUGGAGCCAGCCUAAUUGCCUUUGGUUGGGGCGACCGCGGGGAAACACAAAACCCCCAUGUGGAAUGGGGUCAAACCCUAAAGACGAGAGCUCCCGCUCUAAUAAACAGAAAUUCUGACCUUACUGAUCCGGUGACCGAUCAACGAACCGAGUUACCCUAGGGAUAACAGCGCAAUCCCCUUAUAGAGCCCAUAUCGACAAGGGGGUUUACGACCUCGAUGUUGGAUCAGGAUAUCCUAAUGGUGCAGCCGCUAUUAAGGGUUCGUU